CCUCGCCUUCCAAGGUGGUGUGUA
Molecule: non-coding RNA, 24 nt
Filed under: Arabidopsis thaliana (thale cress)
Lineage: Eukaryota; Viridiplantae; Streptophyta; Magnoliopsida; Brassicales; Brassicaceae
Source: RNAcentral